AUUGAACGCUGGCGGCAGGCCUAACACAUGCAAGUCGAGCGGAGCGGCGGACGGGUGAGUAAUGCCUAGGAAUCUGCCUGGUCGUGGUGGAUAACGUCCGCCAACGGGCGCUAAUACCGCAUCCUCUCCGAUUAGCCUGGGUGGGAUUUGCUAGUUGGUGGUGUAAAGGCCUACCAAGGCUACGAUCCGUAACUGGUCUGAGAGGAUGAUCAGUCACACUGGAACUGAGACACGGUCCAGACGCCUACGGGAGGCAGCAGUGGGGAAUAUUGGACAAUGGGCGAAAGCCUGAUCCAGCCAUGCCGCGUGUGGGAAGAAGGUCUUCGGAUUGUAAAGCACUUUAAGUUGGGAGGCGUUACCAACAGAAUAAGCACCGGCUAACUUCGUGCCAGCAGCCGCGGUAAUUC
This 407-nucleotide ribosomal RNA is filed under the name uncultured bacterium. RNAcentral's name for it is "partial 16S ribosomal RNA". It matches the Rfam family "Bacterial small subunit ribosomal RNA", at positions 30 to 526 of the family's 1533-position model. The record is from RNAcentral.